GACCAAACGGUCCGCCUUUGGUGAGUACUGUUUUGUGUCGGGUCUAUCCUUCUGGUGAGCUGGUAUGCCCUUUAUUGGGUGUGUCAGGGAACCAGGACCAUUACCUUGAAAAAAUUAGAGUGUUUAAAGCGGGCAUAAGCUUGAAUAGAUUAGCAUGGAAUAAUAGAAUAGGACGUUGUGGUUCUAUUUUGUUGGUUCUAGGACCACCGUA
RNAcentral lists this ribosomal RNA (211 nucleotides) under uncultured Archaeospora. Its description in RNAcentral is "partial small subunit ribosomal RNA". It matches the Rfam family "Eukaryotic small subunit ribosomal RNA", at positions 668 to 864 of the family's 1831-position model. Lineage: Eukaryota; Fungi; Glomeromycota; Glomeromycetes; Archaeosporales; Archaeosporaceae. The record is from RNAcentral.